RNAcentral lists this transfer RNA (73 nucleotides) under Stegodyphus mimosarum. It matches the Rfam family "tRNA". Rfam says of the family: Transfer RNA (tRNA) molecules are approximately 80 nucleotides in length. The record is from Rfam by way of RNAcentral. Lineage: Eukaryota; Metazoa; Arthropoda; Arachnida; Araneae; Eresidae.
GCUUUCGUGUUGUGGUGGUCAGCAUGCUCGACGCGUAAUCGAGAGGACCGUGGUUCGAUUCCCACCGAAGGCG